Molecule: ribosomal RNA, 427 nt
Filed under: uncultured bacterium
Lineage: Bacteria
Description: partial 16S ribosomal RNA
Rfam family: Bacterial small subunit ribosomal RNA
Source: RNAcentral
UGGGGAAUAUUGGACAAUGGGCGAAAGCCUGAUCCAGCCAUGCCGCGUGUGUGAAGAAGGUCUUCGGAUUGUAAAGCACGUUAAGUUGGGAGGAAGGGCAUUAACCUAAUACGUUAGUGUUUUGACGUUACCGACAGAAUAAGCACCGGCUAACUCUGUGCCAGCAGCCGCGGAAAUACAGAGGGUGCAAGCGUUAAUCGGAAUUACUGGGCGUAAAGCGCGCGUAGGUGGUUUGUUAAGUUGGAUGUGAAAUCCCCGGGCUCAACCUGGGAACUGCAUUCAAAACUGACUGACUAGAGUAUGGUAGAGGGUGGUGGAAUUUCCUGUGUAGCGGUGAAAUGCGUAGAUAUAGGAAGGAACACCAGUGGCGAAGGCGACCACCUGGACUAAUACUGACACUGAGGUGCGAAAGCGUGGGGAGCAAACA